AUGUACGUUAGAAACCUUGCACGCCGCCUCCACAAGAAUAAGACUCCUUCACUCCUUUUCAAACUGGACAUCAGAAAAGCUUUUGACUCGGUCCGGUGGGAAUAUGUCCUUGAUAUUCUUCAGCGGCGCGGCUUCCCUAGCAGAUUUCAUGACUGGAUUGCUGCCCUUCUUAGCACCUCAUCAUCACGGGUGCUCCUCAAUGGGGUUCCCCUUCUCCGAUUAGCCACGGUAAGGGCCUUCGGCAAGGAGACUCGAUGUCACCGCUUCUUUUUGUUAUUGCGAUUGACCCGCUACAGCAACUGCUCAACUCAGCCACGCGGAUUCGUCUUCUGCACAAGAUUAGAGGGCGUGGUACCAUUAUUCGGACAUCACUCUAUGCUGACGACGCGGCUGUCUUUGUGGCGCCAAUUUGGGAGGAUAUUAGAAACCUGA
This 432-nucleotide ribosomal RNA is filed under the name Triticum aestivum (bread wheat). RNAcentral's name for it is "partial small subunit ribosomal RNA". The record is from RNAcentral. Lineage: Eukaryota; Viridiplantae; Streptophyta; Magnoliopsida; Poales; Poaceae.